RNAcentral lists this long non-coding RNA (822 nucleotides) under Triticum aestivum (bread wheat). RNAcentral's name for it is "long non-coding RNA (TAES_LNC009009)". Lineage: Eukaryota; Viridiplantae; Streptophyta; Magnoliopsida; Poales; Poaceae. The record is from RNAcentral.
CACCCAAAAUCUCCCUCCGCCCCCCUCCGCCCUCAGUCAGACGCUCCGGCUGCCCCUCCCCCUGGCCCGCCUACUCCGCUCCUCCGCCGGCCACCAAGUUCUCCUGCUGGGACUGGGGACCCUAACUAAACCCGACGAGCCGUAAGAGCUCGCCGCUGCUGCCUCAGAUCGCCUCCGCUUGGUAAUUUCUCUUUGCAGAUCAGAUCUCGAUGCUAUUCCUGGCUAUCAGCUAGUAUUAAUGGGUAGGAAUUCAGAGAUCAUACUAGCACAAUUCAUCAAAAUGGAAACAUUUUCUGCCUUCAAAUAAAAUGCUUGCUGCGUAACAAGAUAGGUUAGGAUGAACAUAAUUUUGUGAGCUAGGCACUAACCUGCUAAUUAUUUUGCAUCUCUUUUUUGUCUGAUUUAUCUUUUUAUACCUGAUAGUUCAGCCUGGGACAUGUUUCAUUCCCCGCCCCGCCACAUGUUCUCAAGAUAAAUCAGAGCAAAGUAGAAAAGACAAACUCAUGAUCCAAUCAAGUGGAGCUACUGUGCAAAUUUGAACCUCUGGAAAUUUUCUUCUUAUUGAGUUUCAUUGACAGUGCAAAAAUACGGAAUUGACAACACUAAAACAUGACUUCUUUAAUGUGGUUGAUAGGCUUUGUUGUACUGCAGCCUUGUUACUCGUAUUCUGUUCUGUACUUUAUUAUGUAGCAGAUUAUUUAGGGCAAGUACGAGUCUGUUCAAUCCCAACUCCACCUAUGUGGUUCAUAUAGCUGCCACUGAUUCAGAGGGCAUUGCUUAUUUUGUUUCUUUCGGAAUACAGGUAAUGGCAGAGCUUUGCCG